AGUGCAAGGAUAGGGGUCUAGAGUUGGGGGGCUGAGUGCAGGGGGCUCCAGAUGCAGGGGUUGAGGUUCAGUGGGCUGGGGUUCAGGUAUGGACAGCUAGGGGGGUUCUGGAUUUACCAGGUGAGGC
Non-coding RNA from Chelonoidis abingdonii (Abingdon island giant tortoise), 127 nucleotides. The record is from RefSeq and is a predicted model, not a curated record. Lineage: Eukaryota; Metazoa; Chordata; Testudines; Testudinidae.